Molecule: long non-coding RNA, 621 nt
Filed under: Phascolarctos cinereus (koala)
Lineage: Eukaryota; Metazoa; Chordata; Mammalia; Diprotodontia; Phascolarctidae
Description: lncRNA (ENSPCIG00000033929.1)
Source: RNAcentral
CUUGCACUAAGGCUUCCUGAGUCCAAGGCUGGCCCUCUACCCACAACUGCCGGCUGUAAAAUUCUGGAUUCUAGUCCUUCAGUUUUAGCACUGUGCGAAGGUCUUCAACUGGCUCCCUUGCUGAUGGAUACCAGGGAAUCUAGGAAAGUCUUCUGUACCAGAACCCAAAAGGGAUCAUGGCCAAACUCAACCACCCAACUCUGACAUCUAUGGUUGCUGUUCUAAUAUGGAUCCAUGCUUCAGUACUUACAAGAAUCCAUGACUUCAUUGAUGUGGGACCUUUCUCUCCUCUGAGGGAGAGUAGAGCCCUGCCAUGCCUUAGUAGGCAGUCAUCAGGAGCUGCUGUAGCCAGAAAACCAUCAUCACCUGGUAGGCAGCCUUCUGCUGAUGGGCCUCUCUGAACUAAUCUUGGCCGGUCCUUGGAUGACAGACACUAGGCCAAUACUUGAAGCCUAUCCAGCCCUGGGUAGGACCUGCCAGGGCUUGAAUUCUAUGGACAUAACCUACCCAGAAUAGCCUCUGUUCCAUAGUGAGGAAUAAGAGGAGGACUUUGGUGGAGGACAACAUGAUUAUAACAAUCUGAUUUUUUAAAUCAACAAUUAAACUGCUAAUGAACCAUUA